This 63-nucleotide transfer RNA is filed under the name Aplysia vaccaria. RNAcentral describes it as "tRNA-Val". Lineage: Eukaryota; Metazoa; Mollusca; Gastropoda; Aplysiida; Aplysiidae. The record is from RNAcentral.
GAGGGUGAAGUAUUUAAGUACAUCUCAGUUACAUUGAGAAGGACCAAUUAUCUGGCAUUCUUU